Molecule: long non-coding RNA, 357 nt
Organism: Cryptomeria japonica (Japanese cedar)
Lineage: Eukaryota; Viridiplantae; Streptophyta; Pinopsida; Cupressales; Cupressaceae
Exons: 2
Source: RefSeq, a predicted model, not a curated record
GACAGUGCGCGCUAUUUCGCAAAGGGAAGAUGCACGCGAGUUAAGGCUGCGAAAUAGCGAAAGUGAACGAGAUCCAUCCACGUGGCACGUAGGUGGCGAUGACGUGGCAUACAAGCAAGCGGCCAAGUGGCAGUGACGAAGCAGAUGACGUGGCGAUGAUGAGGUGUCAUCCCAGGUGGCAUCCGAUCAACCCCAUCAGCCAAUCAGAGGCCGCCACGUGGCAAGGCGUCAGAGCACAAAUGGAGGCAAAAAUCAAAUUUUAAAUGAAUAAAUGAUAUAGUUUAGACUAUAUUGAAAUUCGAAAUAUUUAAAUGAUGGAUCCAUGAUGAGAAUUAAUUCGCCCAGGGUCCAAUUUUU